GGCUACCUGGCGCAAUGGUAGCGCGUUUGGCUUCGAUCGCCAACGGCUGCUGAUACCAAACGGUUGCAGGUUCGAGUCCUGCGGUGGUCA
This 90-nucleotide transfer RNA is filed under the name Trametes cingulata. Its description in RNAcentral is "tRNA-Arg". It matches the Rfam family "tRNA". From Rfam's summary of the family: Transfer RNA (tRNA) molecules are approximately 80 nucleotides in length. The record is from RNAcentral. Lineage: Eukaryota; Fungi; Basidiomycota; Agaricomycetes; Polyporales; Polyporaceae.